GUAUGCUUUUAAUUCGAGGUGAAGAGAUUAGUAGAUUUUAUUUGUAUUUGAAUUUUUAGGAUUCUGGUCAACAGAUAAACACACAAUCCAGAUAUUUACUAGGUGUGUUGUGUAUGGUAAUAAACAGAUGUACUAAAGAGAAAUGAAUCUCUUACUUGCUUUCUGGAAAAUAGAAAAUGCAAUAAAAAACAAAAUUAAGUAAGACAAAACUGUAACACCACAACUGUUUACAUACAAUCCCCAAAGGUCU
Pelobates cultripes (western spadefoot toad) is the source of this 250-nucleotide non-coding RNA. NCBI's taxonomy places the organism in Eukaryota, Metazoa, Chordata, Amphibia, Anura, Pelobatidae. The record is from the annotation of a GenBank genome assembly.